RNAcentral lists this ribosomal RNA (365 nucleotides) under uncultured organism. RNAcentral's name for it is "bacterial SSU rRNA". It matches the Rfam family "Bacterial small subunit ribosomal RNA", at positions 526 to 896 of the family's 1533-position model. The record is from RNAcentral.
CGGAGGAUCCAAGCGUUAUCCGGAAUCAUUGGGUUUAAAGGGUCCGUAGGCGGUUUAGUAAGUCAGUGGUGAAAGCCCAUCGCUCAACGGUGGAACGGCCAUUGAUACUGCUAGACUUGAAUUAUUAGGAAGUAACUGGAAUAUGUAGUGUAGCGGUGAAAUGCUUAGAGAUUACAUGGAAUACCAAUUGCGAAGGCAGGUUACUACUAAUGGAUUGACGCUGAUGGACGAAAGCGUGGGUAGCGAACAGGAUUAGAUACCCUGGUAGUCCACGCCGUAAACGAUGGAUACUAGCUGUUGGGAGCGAUCUCAGUGGCUAAGCGAAAGUGAUAAGUAUCCCACUGGGGAGUACGUUCGCAAGAAUG